Molecule: long non-coding RNA, 1585 nt
Organism: Myxocyprinus asiaticus (Chinese sucker)
Lineage: Eukaryota; Metazoa; Chordata; Actinopteri; Cypriniformes; Catostomidae
Exons: 3
Source: RefSeq, a predicted model, not a curated record
CCAUAGCAUUCAGUUGUGCCAGUUUCAUAGAGAAACACUAUCUCUCUUACACACACAGAUGCUUAUUUCUUUUACGCUGCUCAAGAAACUAUACUGGAUAUAAAAAAGCUUUGUGAAAUGUUUUUUUUAAUGUAUUUGAGUAUAAGAGGAAGCUUUAAUGGGAAGUUGUGACAACCAAUUGUGACAUCUUGUUCACAGGAUACUACAACUCCUGCUCUACAUAAACUGAAAGAAGAAGCAGAAAAGCAAGUCAUCAACACCAGACAGUUUUUCUGAUCAAAAACAUCCAAACUUGGUUAUUAAGUAAAUUUGGAUCACUGGUUGACCUGAGGAAUUCAAACCUUUCUUCCCAAAGAUUAAGUCUGGGUGAGUCUAGAUGUGUGAUCCAGCUAAUGAGAGUGAACUAAAACAAGUAAGGGUUGAAAAUGCUUUACUCGAAGAGCGCUCUGAUCAGACAGCUGGCUUGCACAGUGUCACCUGCUGUCUUGUUCUACAUAAAAUCCCCUUCAGUAAGGACACUGACCACCGGAAAUUAGCCAUAUGCAGCAUCGUAUGUGGACUCUCCUGCAUUGGCAUUAUGUCCCUUAUCUACUCUGUCAAGGCUCGAGAGACAAGAAAAACACUUCAAAAUGAAGAUCAAUUGGGAGCACAACAGAAUGUGAAGGUUAAGGAGUACUCAAGAAAAGCUUUGAAAUGGGGAAUAGGGUCCAUUGUAGCCUGGGUAGGUUUAAUUGCCAUCUUUCCAUUGCUGCUGGGAUUACUGUCCUAUCUUGUAACCUUCAUAGACUAAAACUGCAGAAAUUUUACUCCAGAUGUCUUUAAAAAUGCUGUGCAACCAAUGCAAAUGAACCGAGAAAGCAGAGAUAAACUGCCAUGGAUUUUAUCAUUCACAUGAAACAACACAGUAAAACUAUCUACAAACUUAACCUGAUAACAACAGAUUGGUCAUUAAUGGACAUUUUUGUGUUUAUUUACAUUUACUGUGGGUUUUAAAUGGUGUUUGCAGUUGAGACUUAUUCGGAAAGUCUAAAAAACAAAUGUGACCUAGAAUAUAAAACGAGAGCUCAGUCUGUUCACAGCUCUGCCUUGCACUAAGAACUAAGCAUUUUACAUUUCUAUUUCCUAUGCCAUUGGGUUGUAAAUUUAAAUAUUAUAACCUAAAAAACAUGAUGGACCAUAACGAUAAGUACACAGUAACCCCACAGCAGUUAGUAAAGCAAAUACAGGUGGCUCAAAAAAGCUAUAGUAGCUUUCUGGAAUUUGUUACAUGCAUCAGGUAGAAUGAUGCACACACAAAAAAAAUCAUCAUCUCAGUCCAGAAAAUACAUAUACAAUAAAAUACUGACAGUGUAUCAAGCUGGUUUUUAAAUUUUUAUUAUUAUUAUUAUUUUAUUAAUGCAGUGUUGAAAUAAACAGACACUUGCAUGACACUUGCACAAGUUUCUAUUUAAUGUUGAGAUAUGGAUUGUUACAUUAUUAACAUCAGUUUGUGUAAAUUAUUUGUAAUUAUUUCAAUAAGUUGUGCUUUAUGUUUUGUACAUUGCAUGUCUUUCAGACUCUGUAAUAAAAUGUGUAAGUCAAAAUA